RNAcentral lists this ribosomal RNA (400 nucleotides) under uncultured Glomeromycotina. Its description in RNAcentral is "eukaryotic LSU rRNA". Lineage: Eukaryota; Fungi; Glomeromycota. The record is from RNAcentral.
GAAAAGAACUUUGAAAAGAGAGUUAAACAGUACGUGAAAUUGUUGAAAGGGAAACGAUUGAAGCCAGUCGUACCGACGGGAAAUCAACCCUUCGAGUGGGGGAUCGUGAGUGCGAGGAGCUUCGGCCCUCGUUGCGCGCGACACCUUUGCUUCUUGGGCGUACUUUUCCGUAUGUAGGUCAGCAUCGAUUUCGAUCGCCAUAAAAUGGCCGGAGGAAUGUAGCUUCGACCUCGUGUUGGAGUGUUAUAGCCUUUGGUCAAUGUGAUGAUCAAGAUCGAGGAUUGCAACGAAUACCCUUUUGGGCUAUUCGCCUGAUCUCUGAAAGUCGCUCGGGUGUUGAAAGCGUGCUUAUGACAUUCUAGUUGGCGGUCAAAAGGUUAGAACGUGAUUACAUUCGUUA